RNAcentral lists this ribosomal RNA (519 nucleotides) under Helle longirostris. Its description in RNAcentral is "eukaryotic LSU rRNA". It matches the Rfam family "Eukaryotic large subunit ribosomal RNA", at positions 1438 to 1903 of the family's 3401-position model. Lineage: Eukaryota; Metazoa; Arthropoda; Insecta; Diptera; Acroceridae. The record is from RNAcentral.
AUUGGCACACGCUCUUGGUGGUAGUAGCAAAUAAUCGAAUGAGAUCUUGGAGGACUGAAGUGGAGAAGGGUUUCGUGUGAACAGUGGUUGAUCACGAGUUAGUCGGUCCUAAGCUCAAGGCGAAAGCCGAAAAAUGUUAAAGUAUAUAUUAUAAUUAAUAAUACUUUAGUUUUAUUGAACGAAAGGGAAUACGGUUCCAAUUCCGUAACCUGUUGAGUAUACGUUUGUAAUUAAAACUGGGCUCUAUGCUCAUCCUGGCAACAGUAACAACCAUAAAGAAGCCGUCGAGAGAUAUCGAAAGAGUUUUCUUUUCUGUUUUAUAGUCGUAUUACCAUGGAAGUCUUUCGAAGAGAGAUAUGGUAAAUGGACUAGAAGAGCAUGGCAUUUACUGCUGUGUCGAUAUUUUCUCCUCGGACCUUGAAAAUUUAUGGUAGGGUCACGCAAAUUUCUUAACAGGCCGUACCGAUAUCCGCAGCUGGUCUCCAAGGUGAAGAGUCUCUAGUCGAUAGAAUAAUGUAG